This is a long non-coding RNA of Otolemur garnettii (small-eared galago), 452 nucleotides long. RefSeq lists it as uncharacterized. The transcript is spliced from 2 exons. The record is from RefSeq and is a predicted model, not a curated record. Lineage: Eukaryota; Metazoa; Chordata; Mammalia; Primates; Galagidae.
GGCUACGGCGGCGGCAGUGGCUCCACCGGCGGCAACGAGUCUUCUAAGGGACCCAGAUACUAACAAAACCAGAGUAAUCAAGACUAUUAUUGAAGAGGUGGCACCUGAUGGUAGAGUUCUUUCAUCUAUGGUUGAAUCAGAAACCAAGAAACACUACUAUUAAGCUGCAUAAAGAAGAAAGAGUCUCCCUUCACAUGGGCUGUUAUAUACAGAUAUGUGGAAAACAGAGUCUCCAGGCAGGAAGACACAUCAGUCUUAAUGGCCUGUAGGAACAGGUUCUGUCCUUGAAAAUAAGGUGUCUAAAAGGUGUUCUGUGGUUUCUGUAUUUCUUCUUCUCACUUUACCAUGAAGUGUUCUUUAAGGCAAAAAAAAAAAUACAAAAAAUACAAAAAACCUUUCUGUGUUCAUUUACUAAUGGAUUUCAAUAAACUUUCUUACUGAUGCAAACUAUA